RNAcentral lists this transfer RNA (85 nucleotides) under Felis catus (domestic cat). It matches the Rfam family "tRNA". From Rfam's summary of the family: Transfer RNA (tRNA) molecules are approximately 80 nucleotides in length. Their secondary structure includes four short double-helical elements and three loops (D, anti-codon, and T loops). Further hydrogen bonds mediate the characteristic L-shaped molecular structure. tRNAs have two regions of fundamental functional importance: the anti-codon, which is responsible for specific mRNA codon recognition, and the 3' end, to which the tRNAs corresponding amino acid is attached (by aminoacyl-tRNA synthetases). tRNAs cope with the degeneracy of the genetic code in two manners: having more than one tRNA (with a specific anti-codon) for a particular amino acid; and 'wobble' base-pairing, i.e. permitting non-standard base-pairing at the 3rd anti-codon position. The record is from Rfam by way of RNAcentral. Lineage: Eukaryota; Metazoa; Chordata; Mammalia; Carnivora; Felidae.
GCCUGGGUGGCUCAGUCGGUUGAGCGUCUGACUUCGGCCCAGGUCACGAUCUCGUGGUCCGUGGGUUCGAACCCCGCAUCGGGCU